Molecule: ribosomal RNA, 459 nt
Filed under: uncultured bacterium
Lineage: Bacteria
Description: partial 16S ribosomal RNA
Rfam family: Bacterial small subunit ribosomal RNA
Source: RNAcentral
CCUACGGGAGGCAGCAGUGAGGAAUAUUGGUCAAUGGACGUAAGUCUGAACCAGCCAUGCAGCGUGCAGGAAGACGGCUCUAUGAGUUGUAAACUGCUUUUGUACGAGGGUAAACGCAGAUACGCGUAUCUGUUUGAACGUAUCGUACGAAUAAGGAUCGGCUAACUCCGUGCCAGCAGCCGCGGUAAUACGGAGGAUGCAAGUGUUAUCCGGAUUUGUUGGGUUAAAAGGGUGCGUAGGCGGAAGGCCAAGUCAGCGGUAAAAUCGCGGGGCUCAACCUCGCUCCGCCGUUGAAACUGGCGUUCUUGAGUGGGCGGAAAGUAUGCGGAAUGCGUGGUGUAGCGGUGAAAUGCUUAGAUAUCACGCAGAACUCCGAUUGCGAAGGCAGCAUACCGGCGCCCAACUGACGCUGAAGCACGAAAGCGUGGGUAUCGAACAGGAUUAGAUACCCUUGUAGUC